RNAcentral lists this non-coding RNA (22 nucleotides) under Arabidopsis thaliana (thale cress). Lineage: Eukaryota; Viridiplantae; Streptophyta; Magnoliopsida; Brassicales; Brassicaceae. The record is from RNAcentral.
UCUUUUGCAGCCUACUUUGAGA